RNAcentral lists this transfer RNA (70 nucleotides) under Streptomyces sp. TRM68367. It matches the Rfam family "tRNA". Rfam says of the family: Transfer RNA (tRNA) molecules are approximately 80 nucleotides in length. Their secondary structure includes four short double-helical elements and three loops (D, anti-codon, and T loops). The record is from Rfam by way of RNAcentral. Lineage: Bacteria; Bacillati; Actinomycetota; Actinomycetes; Kitasatosporales; Streptomycetaceae.
GCCCCGGUGGAGUCUUGCUCUCACCUGGCCUCCGGAGCCGUGUGCGCAGGUUCGAAUCCUGCCGGGGGCA